RNAcentral lists this ribosomal RNA (408 nucleotides) under uncultured bacterium. RNAcentral describes it as "partial 16S ribosomal RNA". It matches the Rfam family "Bacterial small subunit ribosomal RNA", at positions 28 to 526 of the family's 1533-position model. The record is from RNAcentral.
GACGAACGCUGGCGGCGUGCUUAACACAUGCAAGUCGAACGGAGUGGCGAACGGGUGAGUAACACGUGGGUGAUCUGCCUUGCACUUCGGGAUAAGCUUGGGAUACUGGGUCUAAUACCGGAUAGUGCAAGAUGAGCUGGCGGACUCUCAGCUUGUUGGUGGGGUAAUGGCCUACUAAGGCGUCGACGGGUAGCCGGACGGAGAGGGUGUACGGACACAUUGGGACUGAGAUACGGCCCAGACUACUACGGGAGGAAGCAGUGGGGAAUAUUGCACAAUGGGCGGAAGCCUGAUGCAGCGACGCCGCGUGGGGGAUGAAGGACUUCGGGUUGUAAACUCCUUUCGACAGUGACGCGGUACCUGUAUAAGAAGCGCCGGCUAACUACGUGCCAGCAGCCGCGGUAAUUC